GAGUUUGAUCGUGGCUCAGGAUGAACGCCGGCGGUGUGCCUAAUACAUGCAAGUCGUACGCACUGGCCCAACUGAUUGAUGGUGCUUGCACCUGAUUGACGAUGGAUCACCAGUGAGUGGCGGACGGGUGAGUAACACGUAGGUAACCUGCCCCGGAGCGGGGGAUAACAUUUGGAAACAGAUGCUAAUACCGCAUAACAACAAAGGCCACAUGGCUUUUGUUUGAAAGAUGGCUUUGGCCAUCACUCUGGGAUGGACCUGCGGUGCAUUAGCUAGUUGGUAAGGUAACGGCUUACCAAGGCGAUAAUGCAUAGCCGAGUUGAGAGACUGAUCGGCCACAAUGGAACUGAGACACGGUCCAUACUCCUACGGGAGGCAGCAGUAGGGAAUCUUCCACAAUGGGCGCAAGCCUGAUGGAGCAACACCGCGUGAGUGAAGAAGGGUUUCGGCUCGUAAAGCUCUGUUGUUGGAGAAGAACGUGCGUGAGAGUAACUGUU
Molecule: ribosomal RNA, 497 nt
Filed under: uncultured microorganism
Description: bacterial SSU rRNA
Rfam family: Bacterial small subunit ribosomal RNA
Source: RNAcentral